AUUGAACGCUGGCGGCAGGCCUAACACAUGCAAGUCGAGCGAGAAAGCACUUCGGUGUGAGUACAGCGGCGGACGGGUGAGUAAAGCGUAGGAAUCUACCUGGUAGUGGAGGAUAACUUGGGGAAACUCAAACUAUACCGCAUACGCCCUAUGGGGGAAANCGGGGGACCUUCGGGCCUCGCGCUAUCAGAUGAGCCUGCGUAGGAUUAGCUUGUUGGUGAGGUAAAGGCUCACCAAGGCGACGAUCCUUAGCUGGUCUGAGAGGAUGAUCAGCCACACUGGGACUGAGACACGGCCCAGACUCCUACGGGAGGCAGCAGUGGGGAAUAUUGCGCAAUGGGCGAAAGCCUGACGCAGCCAUGCCGCGUGUGUGAAGAAGGCCUCGGUUGUAAG
RNAcentral lists this ribosomal RNA (393 nucleotides) under uncultured bacterium. RNAcentral's name for it is "bacterial SSU rRNA". It matches the Rfam family "Bacterial small subunit ribosomal RNA", at positions 30 to 429 of the family's 1533-position model. The record is from RNAcentral.